Alnus glutinosa is the source of this 1865-nucleotide long non-coding RNA. RefSeq lists it as uncharacterized. The record is from RefSeq and is a predicted model, not a curated record. NCBI's taxonomy places the organism in Eukaryota, Viridiplantae, Streptophyta, Magnoliopsida, Fagales, Betulaceae. The transcript has 3 exons.
AAGUUAUAAAAUAAUUGUACGUGCAGCACCACUUAUAAUUUAGAGGCUUAAUGAUGUUCUGUUGGAUCAAAAUUUAUUUAAGAAACGUUAGAUCUACAUUUUUUUUAAAAAAAAAAAAAAUAAUUUUUAUACAAUUUACUAAUAAAUUAGCAUAUUUAGCAUUUAUUUAUUAUAUAUAUAAAAAAUGCAACACAAAUUAUUAAAAUUCGAUGUUCGGACACACCUAUAAAAUAGCCGUGGCCACAACGGACAACACCCAACGAGAGAGAGAUGGAUUUCACAGAACUGAGAGAAGCAAUAGAGGAGAUGGAGGUCGUGGACGCCACGCCCACAACGUCGUCGCUCUCGACUCCACUGUCCCUUUCAUCAGUGGCUUCUCCGAAGCCAACGGUGACGCGUUGACCUUCGCGCCCCAUUCCCUCUCCUUCAAGAGAAAUCUAAGGCAUGUUGCUGAAUUGUAUGGAUCGAGACUAGUUGAUCGAUGUUGAUGAAUGGGUUGGGUAUAUAUUGUGGUGCUAAUCUUAUGAACUUGGAGUGGUAUAUAUAGAGAGCCUAGCCUAGCUUAAACGCGAGUAUCAAGGCGAACCCUGCGGUUGGGUUCGACGUAAGUUCCAGUACCAGAAAUCCUCGAUCAUUGACUUUUGAUUGGAACCAUGCGGAAAAUUUUUUAUCGUCUUAGAUAUGGCAAUGGAGCUGUGGGACCGUCGUCAUCUAGCUCGACGGAAGAGCCGCGAGCUGAGAGAGACGGACGAUUGGAGUUAUUUCCAUGUGUCAGUAUUUGGGAAAGGGAGGCAAAUCCAUUUACUACUUUGCUACUUUUUUUCUACAAACUGGUGUCAAAUGUCUAUGUCUUGGAAGAUGACUAAUGACUUUCGUAUACAUAUUCAAUUAAGGUGGGAGGUAUACUACGAGGCGGCCGGACUAUUUUUCGCCACAAACGAACGAUAUACGUCAUACGUGCAUAGAAUAUUUUGUCUGAUUUCAACGUACGUGGCCGCCUGCACAUGUUUUGAAGUUGAAGCUCUUGGUGUCAUUAACCUAAUCCAUAGGGCAUCUACCUGGUAUCUGCAUGAGAGAAGGAACGCAUAAUUCCACUCCGUAAAUUCAAGGGCAGAAAGUGAUAACGUAGUCAGGUGCAUUGGAGCAGGUAAACGUGCUGUUCUUAUCAUCAUAAGCGUAGCUAUAAGCUUGAGGGCAUUGGUUCUCGAAGAUCAUCGAAUAGUUUGUGGGUGGACAUGUUUCUGGGGUACUAUGAUCGCCAGUGCAACAGUAUUGUGGCUCAUUCAAAGCUAAGCAUGCGCUCUUGCAAGCGAUCACGCUCCCAUCAGACCCUUUCAGUUGCAGCUCAGCAGGGCAAACGGCGUUCACGUCUGCUGGGCAACUCGAGGGCUUGCAAUCACCGGUCCCGCCUUGUGUGGCAACAGAAAUAGGGAGGUUGAAGCCAUCUACAAGGCUGACAUCGUAGAAAUCUUGUCCACCAUUCGCUGCUAUGUUGAUUUCUACCAAAGAUGCCGGUGGGAUUGCACCGGCACCGUUGCAUGCAACCUGGCCGGAGGCACAAUCAGCAGUUUCGCAGGUGAACUUUCCUGAGGCGUCGGUGGUGCAUCGUGUUCGUGCCCAGAACCGACCUAUCCAUGGAGCUUGGACAUCAACCGAUGAGGAUGCUUUGGAUGCCAGCUCAAAUCCAGUAGUUGAUAGCUGAGGUUUCUGGUCUGCCGUUAGAGUUCCUGGCCAAACAGUUGUUGGACAGUUGUUUGUGAAAGUUAUUUUAGCAGCAUGAGCACCUGCAUAACAUAAAUUGUCAGAAGAAUGGUCAACUCAUCAAAUCCAUUUAUUUCAUAAUAGCUUAAAUUUUUAGGAUAAAA